GAUGAACGCUGGCGGCGUGCUUAACACAUGCAAGUCGAACGGGAAUUAUUUUAUUGAAACUUCGGUCGAUAUGAUUUAAUUCUAGUGGCGGACGGUGAGUAACGCGUGGGUAACCUGCCUUGUACAGGGGGAUAACAGUCAGAAAUGGCUGCUAAUACCGCAUAAGCGCACAGAGCUGCAUGGCUCCGUGUGAAAAACUACGGUGGUAUAAGAUGGACCCGCGUUGGAUUAGCUUGUUGGCAGGGUAACGGCCUACCAAGGCGACGAUCCAUAGCCGGCCUGAGAGGGUGAACGGCCACAUUGGGACUGAGACACGGCCCAGACUCCUACGGGAGGCAGCAGUGGGGAAUAUUGCACAAUGGGGGAAACCCUGAUGCAGCGACGCCGCGUGAAGGAAGAAGUAUCUCGGUAUGUAAACUUCUAUCAGCAGGGAAGAGAUUGACGGUACCUGACUAAGAAGCCCCGGCUAACUACGUG
Molecule: ribosomal RNA, 477 nt
Filed under: uncultured bacterium
Lineage: Bacteria
Description: partial 16S ribosomal RNA
Rfam family: Bacterial small subunit ribosomal RNA
Source: RNAcentral